GACGAACGCUGGCGGCGUGCUUAACACAUGCAAGUCUUACGAGAAAGGGUAGCAAUAUCCUGAGUAAAGUGGCGCACGGGUGAGUAACACGUAGGCAAUCUGCCUUUAGGACGGGAACAACUCAGCGAAAGUUGAGCUAAUACCCGAUAAUGCAGCGGCUCCGCAUGGAGACAGUUGUUAAAUCCCGCAAGGGGCCUAUUGAUGAGCCUGCAUCUGANAGCUAGUUGGUGAGGUAACGGCUCACCAAGGCUACGAUCAGUAGCUGGUCUGAGAGGAUGAUCAGCCACACUGGAACUGAGACACGGUCCAGACUCCUACGGGAGGCAGCAGUGAGGAAUAUUGCGCAAUGGCCGAAAGGCUGACGCAGCGACGCCGCGUGAAGGAUGAAGUUCGUUAGAAUGUAAAC
RNAcentral lists this ribosomal RNA (406 nucleotides) under uncultured bacterium. RNAcentral describes it as "bacterial SSU rRNA". It matches the Rfam family "Bacterial small subunit ribosomal RNA", at positions 28 to 430 of the family's 1533-position model. The record is from RNAcentral.